UACGUAGGCAGCAAGCGUUGUUCGGAAUUACUGGGCGUAAAGAGUGUGUAGGCGGUGCUCUAAGUUCGGUGUGAAAUCUCCCGGCUUAACUGGGAGGGUGCGCCGGAAACUGGAGUGCUCGAGCGUGGGAGAGGAAAGCGGAAUUCAUGGUGUAGCAGUGAAAUGCGUAGAGAUCAUGAGGAAGACCAGUGGCGAAGGCGGGUCUCUGGACAGUUCCUGACACUGAGACACGAAGGCCAGGGGAGCAAACGGG
RNAcentral lists this ribosomal RNA (253 nucleotides) under uncultured bacterium. RNAcentral's name for it is "partial 16S ribosomal RNA". It matches the Rfam family "Bacterial small subunit ribosomal RNA", at positions 524 to 776 of the family's 1533-position model. The record is from RNAcentral.